Molecule: ribosomal RNA, 440 nt
Filed under: uncultured bacterium
Lineage: Bacteria
Description: partial 16S ribosomal RNA
Rfam family: Bacterial small subunit ribosomal RNA
Source: RNAcentral
CCUACGGGAGGCUGCAGUGGGGAAUAUUGCACAAUGGGGGAAACCCUGAUGCAGCGACGCCGCGUGAGUGAAGAAGGAAUUCGUUAUGUAAAGCUCUAUCAGAAGGGAAGAAAAUGACGGUACCUGAGUAAGAAGCCCCGGCUAACUACGUGCCAGCAGCCGCGGUAAUACGUAGGGGGCAAGCGUUAUCCGGAGUUACUGGGUGUAAAGGGAGCGUAGACGGCAGUGCAAGUCUGGAGGGAAAGGCGGGGGCGCAACCCCCGGACUGCUCUUGAAACUGUACGGCUGGAGUGCAGGAGAGGUAAGUGGAAUUCCUAGUGUAGCGGUGAAAUGCGUAGAUAUUAGGAGGAACACCAGUGGCGAAGGCGGCUUACUGGACUGUAACUGACGUUGAGGCUCGAAAGCGUGGGGAGCAAACAGGAUUAGAUACCCUUGUAGUC